UGCACCUUCAAACAGUUACGUCAGAUCACAUACUCCAGCAGCUCUUUUAAGAAGUCAUCUCUUAAAGCUGCUAGAAUUAACAGGGAACUCAAUGCUGAUCUUGAAGAAGCUGCCAAGGAGGCUGAACAAGUCCUUCAGUGAUUCAACUCUUCACAGUAAUGUUGAACACAUUCAGCUAGAACUGAUUUGCUUUAAUGAACGCAUCCUUAUUUUAUGUGUUAAUAAUAGCUUUCCUUACAGUCCUUCCUCUCAAAUAUUUUGGUCACAGAUUAUAUUUUGCACAUUGUUUUAACAUGUAUAUAUUUCUCUUUGUUUCAGCUGAGAGGAAGACCAAAGGAAGGCCUGUCCUGGGAUGUGAUUUCGGCCGUAUUGUGCGUUUAUGGAGAAGACCCAAAGCUGCAAAGACAAAUGCUGAAGACCAAAAAUGCAAAGAAAAUCAGUCACAGCAAGUCAACAGGCAAACCAGUCCUGAUGAAUGAGGAAUGAACAUGGUCUUCUUCUGCCCAAACAGAAAAGAGAAAGCUGGAAAGUUGCACAUUUCCACUGAUCCUAGAAUGAGCAAAUCAGCUGUGCAUCAUCUGUGGGAUUUAGGCAGGAAAUGACUGAAUAUGGAGGAUGAAGCCAGUUGGUGAAGAUAUCAAUUCAAUGGCCACCAAGUGAAGCACUGCUGCCUGAACCCAUCAGAUAUCUGCUGUGAAGACUUAAUUCACGAACAACUCUACUGUGAAAGCGCAGAAGUUACAGCCCAUAAAAGAAACAAGAUAGUGGUGGAGGGAUUCUUUUAGCCCAUACCUCCAACAAGAAUCAAUGGACAUCAAGACCAGGUGGUGUGUGAGAAAAGCAUGGAGGACCGUCAGAGACUCCAGCCACCCGAGCCAUGGAUUGCUUUCACCGUUACCAUCAGGCAGAUGUUAUCGCAGAACCUUCACCAGCAGACUGCAAGACAAGUUCUUUCCACAGACAAUCAGACUGAACUGAACUCGUACCAGUAACACCGCACACAGCACACCAACCAAUUAUGCACUGCACUCUAUCACUUACACUGACUGGACUCUGACUCACUAUUAUUCUGCAUCCUGACAAUCUGUUUGCACUAAUUCAUACCGUACUGCACUGCAAAGGUAUAUGUGUACUGUGAUUAUUGUUUUCAUUUCAUGCUGUCUGUAUAGUAUAAUAUUUACCAUAUGGUGUUCUCUAUCUGUAUUGAGUCCCAUAUAUGUGUGUGUUGCAUAUAUAUUCAAUAUUUGUCAUCCAUAAUGUCAUGCUGCAGUUUGCACAAAAGACUUUCACCACCUGUACACUUGCGUUCAUGGUAUUGUGACAAUAAAGUGAUUUGAUUUUAA
Long non-coding RNA from Onychostoma macrolepis, 1343 nucleotides. RefSeq lists it as uncharacterized. Lineage: Eukaryota; Metazoa; Chordata; Actinopteri; Cypriniformes; Cyprinidae. The record is from RefSeq and is a predicted model, not a curated record. The transcript has 7 exons.